AGAGAGAGACAUGCGCGCAUAUCAAUAAGCGGAGGAAAAGAAACUAACAAGGAUUCCCUUAGUAACGGCGAGUGAAGCGGGAAGAGCUCAAAUUUGAAAUCUUCAAGGUUUUACCUUGACGAAUUGUAGUUUAAAGAAGUGUUUUCUGCUGAAGUUUUGGUAAAAGUUCUUUGGAAUAGGACAUCAUAGAGGGUGAGAAUCCCGUAUUUGACCAUUAUUUUCAGCUUUGUGAUACACUUUCAAAGAGUCGGAUUGUUUGGGAAUGCAGUCCAAAAUGGGUGGUAAAUUUCAUCUAAAGCUAAAUAUUGGCGAGAGACCGAUAGCGAACAAGUACCGUGAGGGAAAGAUGAAAAGAACUUUGAAAAGAGAGUUAAACAGUACGUGAGAUUGUCAAAAGGGAAGCGUUUGACACCAGUGUUGUUUUCUCGAAAAUCAAUUAAAAAUGGCAGCGAUUUUGUAUUGCUUGUAUGACCUUUACUCAGCUGUACUCUUUUCUUGUCUUUUUUAAUGCACUUUUCGUUUAACAAGUCAACAUCAGUUUCUUUUGUUGUAAAAGGGUCAUUGGAAGGUGGCUUUCUUUUCGGAGAAAGUGUUUAUAGCCUUUGGCCUCUGCAAUCGGAGAGACUGAGGUCUGCAGCGUAGACUCUUCGGGGUUAGAUACAUUUGUGCUAAGUUAUAGCUUUUUAUAGACAACUUGUUGACUAUAAUUAGUCUUGUAGCUUACUCGCUUAUGCUAUUUUACCUACGCUUAGGAUGUUGAGUCGUAGAGCACGCAG
Molecule: ribosomal RNA, 776 nt
Filed under: uncultured Neocallimastigales
Lineage: Eukaryota; Fungi; Neocallimastigomycota; Neocallimastigomycetes; Neocallimastigales
Description: partial large subunit ribosomal RNA
Rfam family: Eukaryotic large subunit ribosomal RNA
Source: RNAcentral